UGGGGAAUAUUGGACAAUGGGCGAAAGCCUGACCCAGCAACGCCGCGUGAAGGAUGAAGUAUUUCGGUAUGUAAACUUCGAAAGAAUAGGAAGAAUAAAUGACGGUACUAUUUAUAAGGUCCGGCUAACUACGUGCCAGCAGCCGCGGUAAUACGUAGGGACCAAGCGUUGUUCGGAUUUACUGGGCGUAAAGGGCGCGUAGGCGGCAAUUCAAGUCAUCUGUGAAAUCUCCGAGCUUAACUCGGAACGGUCAGAUGAUACUGCUGUGCUAGAGUACAGAAAGGGCAAUCGGAAUUCUUGGUGUAGCGGUGAAAUGCGUAGAUAUCAAGAGGAACACCUGAGGCGAAGGCGGGUUGCUAGGCUGAUACUGACGCUGAGGCGCGAAAGCUAGGGUAGCAAACGGGAUUAGAUACCCACGUAGUCCCUGAGCGGGCUGGCAAGGCGCAU
This 447-nucleotide ribosomal RNA is filed under the name uncultured bacterium. Its description in RNAcentral is "bacterial SSU rRNA". It matches the Rfam family "Bacterial small subunit ribosomal RNA", at positions 355 to 825 of the family's 1533-position model. The record is from RNAcentral.